UGCGGAGGGAGCUAGCGUUAUUCGGAAUUACUGGGCGUAAAGCGCACGUAGGCGGCUUUGUAAGUAAGAGGUGAAAGCCCAGAGCUCAACUCUGGAAUUGCCUUUUAGACUGCAUCGCUUUGAAUCAUGGAGAGGUCAGUGGAAUUCCGAGUGUAGAGGUGAAAUUCGUAGAUAUUCGGAAGAACACCAGUGGCGAAGGCGGCUGACUGGACAUGUAUUGACGCUGAGGUGCGAAAGCGUGGGGAGCAAACAGGAUUGAGAAACCCU
RNAcentral lists this ribosomal RNA (267 nucleotides) under uncultured bacterium. RNAcentral's name for it is "partial 16S ribosomal RNA". It matches the Rfam family "Bacterial small subunit ribosomal RNA", at positions 524 to 788 of the family's 1533-position model. The record is from RNAcentral.